UGUCAGGGUCGGUGGCUUACAUCCAUUA
Molecule: non-coding RNA, 28 nt
Filed under: Mus musculus (house mouse)
Lineage: Eukaryota; Metazoa; Chordata; Mammalia; Rodentia; Muridae
Source: RNAcentral